ACUCCUACGGGAGGCAGCAGUGGGGAAUAUUGCACAAUGGGCGCAAGCCUGAUGCAGCCAUGCCGCGUGUGUGAAGAAGGCCUUCGGGUUGUAAAGCACUUUCAGUUGUGAGGAAGGUGGUGUCGUUAAUAGCGGCAUCAUUUGACGUUAGCAACAGAAGAAGCACCGGCUAACUCCGUGCCAGCAGCCGCGGUAAUACGGAGGGUGCGAGCGUUAAUCGGAAUUACUGGGCGUAAAGCGCACGCAGGCGGCUUUGUUAAGCUAGAGGUGAAAGCCCCGGCGCUCAACGUGGGAACUGCCUUUAGAACUGGCAGGCUAGAGGUCUUGGAGAGGGGAGUGGAAUUCCAGGUGUAGCGGUGAAAUGCGUAGAUAUCUGGAGGAACAUCAGUCGGCGAAGGCGGCUCCCUGGCCAAAGACUGACGCUCAUGUGCGAAAGUGUGGGGUAGCGAACAGGAUUAGAUACCCUGGUAGCUACGA
RNAcentral lists this ribosomal RNA (477 nucleotides) under uncultured bacterium. Its description in RNAcentral is "bacterial SSU rRNA". It matches the Rfam family "Bacterial small subunit ribosomal RNA", at positions 335 to 797 of the family's 1533-position model. The record is from RNAcentral.